This 72-nucleotide transfer RNA is filed under the name Loxodonta africana (African savanna elephant). It matches the Rfam family "tRNA". Rfam says of the family: Transfer RNA (tRNA) molecules are approximately 80 nucleotides in length. Their secondary structure includes four short double-helical elements and three loops (D, anti-codon, and T loops). Lineage: Eukaryota; Metazoa; Chordata; Mammalia; Proboscidea; Elephantidae. The record is from Rfam by way of RNAcentral.
GCCUUGAUAGUGCAGUGGUUAAGCACAGGGCUGCUAACCCAAAGGUUGGCGGUUCAAACCCACCCAAUGGCU